This 350-nucleotide unclassified non-coding RNA is filed under the name soil metagenome. Its description in RNAcentral is "partial contains 5.8S ribosomal RNA, internal transcribed spacer 2, and large subunit ribosomal RNA". The stretch from base 1 to 120 matches the Rfam family "5.8S ribosomal RNA", at positions 35 to 154 of the family's 154-position model. The record is from RNAcentral.
GAUGAAGAACGUAGUGAAAUGCGAUAAGUAAUGUGAAUUGCAGAAUUCAGUGAAUCAUCGAAUCUUUGAACGCACAUUGCGCCCGCCAGUAUUCUGGCGGGCAUGCCUGUUCGAGCGUCAUUUCAACCCUCAAGCCCAGCUUGGUGUUGGGGAUCGGCACAGGCGCCCUCGGGCGCCCGCCGUCCCCUAAAUCUAGUGGCGGUCCCGCUGCAGCCUCCUCUGCGUAGUAGUUUUCUCCUCGCAAGGGCAGCUCGGUGGCGACCUCGCCGUAAAACCCCCAACUUCUGAAAGGUUGACCUCGAAUCAGGGAGGAAUACCCGCUGAACUUAAGCAUAUCAAUAAGCGGAGGA